CCUACGGGCGGCAGCAGUGAGGAAUAUUGGUCAAUGGACGAGAGUCUGAACCAGCCAAGUAGCGUGAAGGAUGACUGCCCUAUGGGUUGUAAACUUCUUUUAUAAAGGAAUAAAACGAGGCACGUGUGCCUUUUUGCAUGUACUUUAUGAAUAAGGAUCGGCUAACUCCGUGCCAGCAGCCGCGGUAAUACGGAGGAUCCGAGCGUUAUCCGGAUUUAUUGGGUUUAAAGGGAGCGUAGAUGGGUUGUUAAGUCAGUUGUGAAAGUUUGCGGCUCAACCGUAAAAUUGCAAUUGAUACUGGUAGUCUUGAGUACAGUUGAGGUAGGCGGAAUUCGUGGUGUAGCGGUGAAAUGCUUAGAUAUCACGAAGAACCCCGAUUGCGAAGGCAGCUUACUAAACUGUGACUGACAUUGAUGUUCGAAAGUGUGGGUAUCAAACAGGAUUAGAUACCCCUGUAGUC
RNAcentral lists this ribosomal RNA (460 nucleotides) under uncultured bacterium. RNAcentral describes it as "partial 16S ribosomal RNA". It matches the Rfam family "Bacterial small subunit ribosomal RNA", at positions 338 to 795 of the family's 1533-position model. The record is from RNAcentral.